This 425-nucleotide ribosomal RNA is filed under the name uncultured Alphaproteobacteria bacterium. RNAcentral describes it as "bacterial SSU rRNA". It matches the Rfam family "Bacterial small subunit ribosomal RNA", at positions 354 to 796 of the family's 1533-position model. The record is from RNAcentral. Lineage: Bacteria; Pseudomonadati; Pseudomonadota; Alphaproteobacteria.
GUGGGGAAUAUUGGACAAUGGGCGCAAGCCUGAUCCAGCCAUGCCGCGUGAGUGAUGAAGGCCCUAGGGUUGUAAAGCUCUUUCGCACGUGACGAUAAUGACGGUAGCGUGAGAAGAAGCCCCGGCUAACUUCGUGCCAGCAGCCGCGGUAAUACGAAGGGGGCUAGCGUUGUUCGGAAUCACUGGGCGUAAAGCGCACGUAGGCGGACCGGAAAGUCAGAGGUGAAAUCCCAGGGCUCAACCUUGGAACUGCCUUUGAAACUCCUGGUCUUGAGGUCGAGAGAGGUGAGUGGAAUUCCGAGUGUAGAGGUGAAAUUCGUAGAUAUUCGGAGGAACACCAGUGGCGAAGGCGGCUCACUGGCUCGAUACUGACGCUGAGGUGCGAAAGCGUGGGGAGCAAACAGGAUUAGAUACCCCAGUAGUCC